UUUAAAUCCAAAACAAACAAAAAUCCAAAGUGAGCUACCUUACAAAAGUCCUUACAGUAAGACACGUCGUUUUGAGAGUUUGUUUCUUGUUUUUUCAGCUUUUAAACUUAGAUAUAUUUGCAUCUGCGUAAAGAUCACUCAAAACUGUCUUAAUUCAUAAUUCAAGUGGUUAACCAAGGCAAAGAAUAAGGAAGUGAAAGUCUGAGGUGCAAUGCCAGGUCAGAUUUCCCAACAGGCUAGUCAGUACCAGGCUCUGCCUGCACUCACCUAAACCAGAUGACCUCUCUAAGUCUCUUUUAAUCAAAUUAUAUAACAAGUUAGUUACAUAAUGUCAGUGCUCUAACAUUCACGGGUAUUUUUUUUUUCUUUUCAAGGUUUUCCUAGGAAACCCUCAUGUUUGUAACUGUUCCACAUUUCUGAAAGGAGGGGAGCUUUGUAAGCAUAUAUGCUGGAUCUUAUUGAAAAAAAUUCAAGCUUCCAAGAAAUCAUGAAUACAGAGAUCUCAGUAAAUUGCUCAAGCUGGCCUUGAACUUGUGACCUCCUGCCUCAGCCUCCCAGAGUGCUGGGGUUACAGCCAUGAACUACCUUGCCCAGCCUGGUUUCCUCUCUUUGAAUCUCCGUGUCACAUUUUGGCCUUCCUUUUCAUUUCUGCUCCAAAGCUUGGAAUUCUUUUUUGCUCACAUCCUCUUCUCCUGUCUGUCUGUGUUUAUUUCUACAAUUUUAAAGAAAUCAUGCAAAAUGAGAAAGAUGUCACAUACAAAUUCAAACUAAUCUAUUCAUGCCUAGUAAACUAAAUAAGAAAAUUGUUUCCAUUAUGC
This 818-nucleotide long non-coding RNA is filed under the name Heterocephalus glaber (naked mole-rat). Its description in RNAcentral is "lncRNA (ENSHGLG00000040938.1)". Lineage: Eukaryota; Metazoa; Chordata; Mammalia; Rodentia; Bathyergidae. The record is from RNAcentral.